RNAcentral lists this ribosomal RNA (441 nucleotides) under uncultured bacterium. RNAcentral describes it as "partial 16S ribosomal RNA". It matches the Rfam family "Bacterial small subunit ribosomal RNA", at positions 338 to 795 of the family's 1533-position model. The record is from RNAcentral.
CCUACGGGAGGCUGCAGUGGGGAAUAUUGCACAAUGGGGGAAACCCUGCUGCAGCGACGCCGCGUGAGUGAAGAAGUAUCUCGGUAUGUAAAGCUCUAUCAGCAGGGAAGAAGCAAGACGGUACCUGACUAAGAAGCCCCGGCUAACUACGUGCCAGCAGCCGCGGUAAUACGUAGGGGGCGAGCGUUAUCCGGAGUCACUGGGUGUAAAGGGAGCGUAGACGGCCAUGCAAGCCAGGGGUGAAAGCCCGGGGCCCAACCCCGGGACUGCCCUUGGAACUGUGCGGCUAGAGUGCGGGAGGGGCAGGCGGAAUGGCUGGUGUAGCGGUGAAAUGCGUAGAGAUCAGGAGGAACACCGGCGGCGAAGGCAGCCUGCUGGACCGCGACUGACGUUGAGGCUCGAAAGCGUGGGGAGCGAACAGGAUGAGAUACCCGAGUAGUC